This 403-nucleotide ribosomal RNA is filed under the name uncultured bacterium. RNAcentral describes it as "partial 16S ribosomal RNA". It matches the Rfam family "Bacterial small subunit ribosomal RNA", at positions 30 to 526 of the family's 1533-position model. The record is from RNAcentral.
AUUGAACGCUGGCGGCAGGCUUAACACAUGCAAGUCGAGCGAGCGGCGGACGGGUGAGUAAUGUAUGGGGACUGCCCGAUAGAGGGGGAUAACUCCUGGAAACGGUAGCUCAUACCCCACAUUCUCGCAUAAUCCAUAUGGGAUUAGCUAGUAGGUGGGUUAAUGGCUCUCCUCGGCGACGAUCCCUAGCUGGUGUGAGAGGAUGAUCCGCCACACUGGAACUGAGACACGGACCAGACGCCUACGGAGGCAGCAGUGGGGAAUAUUGCACAAUGGGCGCAAGCCUGAUGCAGCCAUGCCGCGUGGAGGAAGAAGGCCAUAGGGUUGUAAAGUACUGUCAGUCGGGAGGCGUUACCGACAGAAGAAGCACCGGCUAACUCCGUGCCAGCAGCCGCGGUAAUUC